AGAGUUUGAUCCUGGCUCAGGACGAACGCUGGCGGCGCGCUUAACACAUGCAAGUCGAGCGAGAACCGUUCCUUCGGGAAUGGGGACAGCGGCGAACGGGUGAGUAACACGUGGGUGACCUACCUUCGAGUGGGGGAUAACGUCCCGAAAGGGACGCUAAUACCGCAUAACAUCCUGCCUUUGAACAGGUGGAGAUCAAAGCCGGGGAUCGCAAGACCUGGCGCUUGAUGAGGGGCCCGCGCCUGAUUAGCUAGUUGGUGGGGUAAUGGCUCACCAAGGCGACGAUCAGUAUCCGGCCUGAGAGGGCGGACGGACACACUGGGACUGAGACACGGCCCAGACUCCUACGGGAGGCAGCAGUGGGGAAUUGUUCGCAAUGGGCGCAAGCCUGACGACGCAACGCCGCGUGGAGGAUGAAGGUCUUCGGAUUGUAAACUCCUGUUGCUCGGGACGAAAAGCUUCGACCUAACACGUUGAGGUCUGACGGUACCGAGUGAGGAAGCCCCGGCUAACUCUGUGCCAGCAGCCGCGGUAAUACAGAGGGGGCAAGCGUUGUUCGGAAUUACUGGGCGUAAAGGGCGCGUAGGCGGCCUGCUAAGUCGAACGUGAAAUCCCUGGGCUCAACCCAGGAACUGCGUCCGAUACUGGUUGGCUUGAAUCCGGGAGAGGGAUGUGGAAUUCCAGGUGUAGCGGUGAAAUGCGUAGAUAUCUGGAGGAACACCGGUGGCGAAGGCGACAUCCUGGACCGGUAUUGACGCUGAGGCGCGAAAGCCAGGGGAGCANACGGGAUUAGAUACCCCGGUAGUCCUGGCCCUAAACGAUGAAUGCUUGGUGUGGCGGGUAUCGAUCCCUGCCGUGCCGAAGCUAACGCAUUAAGCAUUCCGCCUGGGGAGUACGGUCGCAAGGCUAAACUCAAAGGAAU
Molecule: ribosomal RNA, 922 nt
Filed under: uncultured bacterium
Lineage: Bacteria
Description: bacterial SSU rRNA
Rfam family: Bacterial small subunit ribosomal RNA
Source: RNAcentral